Molecule: ribosomal RNA, 361 nt
Filed under: uncultured bacterium
Lineage: Bacteria
Description: bacterial SSU rRNA
Rfam family: Bacterial small subunit ribosomal RNA
Source: RNAcentral
AACGAACGCUGGCGGCAUGCCUAACACACGCAAGUCGAACGAGACCUUCGGGUCUAGUGGCGCACGGGUGCGUAACACGUGGGAAUUUGCCUCGGGGUAUGGAAUAACUCAGGGAAACUUGAGCUAAUACCAUAUAAUGUCUUCGGACCAAAGAUUUAUCGCCCUGAGAUAAGCCCGCGUAGGAUUAGCUAGUUGGUGAGGUAAAGGCUCACCAAGGCGACGAUCCUUAGCUGGUCUGAGAGGAUGAUCAGCCACACUGGGACUGAGACACGGCCCAGACUCCUACGGGAGGCAGCAGUGGGGAAUAUUGGACAAAUGGGCGAAAGCCUGAUCCAGCAAUGCCGCGUGAGUGAUGAAGGCC